GAAUCCAGGCCUCUCCGGCCGCAUGUGCCUCUUGCAUGCGACCCGCUCAAGGCCUCUGCUGUGAGUCUGGUGAGCGCCGAUGGGA
RNAcentral lists this non-coding RNA (85 nucleotides) under Eutreptiella gymnastica. The record is from RNAcentral. Lineage: Eukaryota; Euglenozoa; Euglenophyceae; Eutreptiales; Eutreptiaceae.